Molecule: ribosomal RNA, 1001 nt
Filed under: marine metagenome
Description: bacterial LSU rRNA
Rfam family: Bacterial large subunit ribosomal RNA
Source: RNAcentral
CUGAAGCCCCGGUGAACGGCGGCCGUAACUAUAACGGUCCUAAGGUAGCGAAAUUCCUUGUCGGGUAAGUUCCGACCUGCACGAAUGGCGUAACGACUUCCCCGCUGUCUCAAAUGUGGACUCAGCGAAAUUGAAUUGCCUGUCAAGAUGCAGGCUACCCGCGGUUAGACGGAAAGACCCCAUGCACCUUUACUACAACUUUACAUUGGCAUCAGGUACAGCAUGCGCAGGAUAGGUGGUAGGCUUUGAAGCCGGGACUCUGGUCUCGGUGGAGCCUCCCUUGAGAUACCACCCUUGCUCUGCUUGAUGUCUAACCGCGGUCCGUUAUCCGGAUCCGGGACCCUGUAUGGUGGGUAGUUUGACUGGGGCGGUCGCCUCCCAAAUUGUAACGGAGGCGCGCGAAGGUUGGCUCAGAGCGGUCGGAAAUCGCUCGUUGAGUGCAAUGGCAGAAGCCAGCCUGACUGCAAGACUGACAAGUCGAGCAGAGACGAAAGUCGGCCAUAGUGAUCCGGUGGUCCCGAGUGGAAGGGCCAUCGCUCAACGGAUAAAAGGUACGCUGGGGAUAACAGGCUGAUGGUGCCCAAGAGUCCAUAUCGACGGCACCGUUUGGCACCUCGAUGUCGGCUCAUCUCAUCCUGGGGCUGGAGCAGGUCCCAAGGGUACGGCUGUUCGCCGUUUAAAGAGGUACGUGAGCUGGGUUUAGAACGUCGUGAGACAGUUCGGUCCCUAUCUUCCGUGGGUGUAGGAUACUUGAGAGGAGUUGCCCCUAGUACGAGAGGACCGGGGUGAACGAUCCACUGGUGGACCUGUUGUCGUGCCAACGGCAGUGCAGGGUAGCUAUGAUCGGACAGGAUAACCGCUGAAGGCAUCUAAGCGGGAAGCCCCCCUCAAAACAAGGUAUCCCUGAGGACCGAGGUAGACCACCUCGUCGAUAGGCCAGAGAUGUAAGCGCAGCAAUGUGUUCAGUUGACUGGUACUAAUGGUCCAAUAGGCUUGAUUUG